RNAcentral lists this ribosomal RNA (317 nucleotides) under uncultured Chloroflexota bacterium. RNAcentral describes it as "bacterial SSU rRNA". It matches the Rfam family "Bacterial small subunit ribosomal RNA", at positions 28 to 351 of the family's 1533-position model. Lineage: Bacteria; Bacillati; Chloroflexota. The record is from RNAcentral.
GAUGAACGCUGGCGGCGUGCCUAAUACAUGCAAGUCGAACGGGGUGCAGCAAUGUACCAAGUGGCGAUCGGGUGCGUAACACGUAGCUGACCUACCUCUUGGCGGGGGACAACAGGCCGAAAGGCUUGCUAAUACCGCAUGAUUUCGGGGGAACUAGAACGCCUCGAAGAAACGCUUCGGCGGCCGAGAGAGGGGGCUGCGGCCCAUCAGGUAGUUGGUGAGGUAACGGCUCACCAAGCCGACGACGGGUAGGGGGCCUGAGAGGGUGACCCCCCACACUGGGACUGACAGACGGCCCAGACUCCUACGGGUGGCAG